RNAcentral lists this ribosomal RNA (606 nucleotides) under Nannizziopsis guarroi. RNAcentral describes it as "eukaryotic LSU rRNA". It matches the Rfam family "Eukaryotic large subunit ribosomal RNA", at positions 38 to 657 of the family's 3401-position model. The record is from RNAcentral. Lineage: Eukaryota; Fungi; Ascomycota; Eurotiomycetes; Onygenales; Nannizziopsiaceae.
GCAUAUCAAUAAGCGGAGGAAAAGAAACCAACUGGGAUUGCCUCAGUAACGGCGAGUGAAGCGGCAGAAGCUCAAAUUUGAAAUCUGGCCCCUCUGGGGGUCCGAGUUGUAAUUUGCAGAGGACACUUCGGGUGCGGCCGCGGUCUAAGUCCCCUGGAACGGGGCGUCGGAGAGGGUGAGAAUCCCGUCUGGGACCGUGGACCUGCCCCGUGUGAAGUUCCUUCGACGAGUCGAGUUGUUUGGGAAUGCAGCUCUAAGUGGGUGGUAAAUUUCAUCUAAAGCUAAAUACUGGCGGGAGACCGAUAGCGCACAAGUAGAGUGAUCGAAAGGUUAAAAGCACCUUGAAAAGGGAGUUAAACAGCACGUGAAAUUGUUGAAAGGGAAGCGCUGGCAGCCAGACAGGAACCCGGGGGCUCAGCGGGCAUGCGUGCCCGUGCACUCCCCCGCGGUUCCGGCCAGCAUCAGUUUCGGCGGCCGGUCAAAGGCCCCGGGAAGGUAUCGUCCUCCGGGACGACUUACAGCCCGGGGUGCAAUGCGGCCAGUCGGGACUGAGGAACGCGCUCCGGCACGGAUGCUGGCGUAAUGGCUGUCAGCGGCCCGUCUUGA